UUGCUUCUCUUGAGAGCGGCGGACGGGUGAGUAAUGCCUAGGAAUCUGCCUGGUAGUGGGGGAUAACGUCCGGAAACGGACGCUAAUACCGCAUACGUCCUACGGGAGAAAGCAGGGGACCUUCGGGCCUUGCGCUAUCAGAUGAGCCUAGGUCGGAUUAGCUAGUUGGUGGGGUAAUGGCUCACCAAGGCGACGAUCCGUAACUGGUCUGAGAGGAUGAUCAGUCACACUGGAACUGAGACACGGUCCAGACUCCUACGGGAGGCAGCAGUGGGGAAUAUUGGACAAUGGGCGAAAGCCUGAUCCAGCCAUGCCGCGUGUGUGAAGAAGGUCUUCGGAUUGUAAAGCACUUUAAGUUGGGAGGAAGGGCAGUAAAUUAAUACUUUGCUGUUUUGACGUUACCGACAGAAUAAGCACCGGCUAACUCUGUGCCAGCAGCCGCGGUAAUACAGAGGGUGCAAGCGUUAAUCGGAAUUACUGGGCGUAAAGCGCGCGUAGGUGGUUCGUUAAGUUGGAUGUGAAAUCCCCGGGCUCAACCUGGGAACUGCAUUCAAAACUGACGAGCUAGAGUAUGGUAGAGGGUGGUGGAAUUUCCUGUGUAGCGGUGAAAUGCGUAGAUAUAGGAAGGAACACCAGUGGCGA
RNAcentral lists this ribosomal RNA (642 nucleotides) under uncultured bacterium. RNAcentral's name for it is "bacterial SSU rRNA". It matches the Rfam family "Bacterial small subunit ribosomal RNA", at positions 80 to 718 of the family's 1533-position model. The record is from RNAcentral.